UAGUGAAAGUAGUUACUGGUGGAUAGAAC
This 29-nucleotide small RNA is filed under the name Bombyx mori (domestic silkworm). RNAcentral describes it as "ovarian small RNA-23038". Lineage: Eukaryota; Metazoa; Arthropoda; Insecta; Lepidoptera; Bombycidae. The record is from RNAcentral.